Molecule: ribosomal RNA, 275 nt
Filed under: Flavobacterium sp.
Lineage: Bacteria; Pseudomonadati; Bacteroidota; Flavobacteriia; Flavobacteriales; Flavobacteriaceae
Description: partial 16S rRNA
Rfam family: Bacterial small subunit ribosomal RNA
Source: RNAcentral
AGUCAGUGGUGAAAGCCCAUCGCUCAACGGUGGAACGGCCAUUGAUACUGUUAAACUUGAAUUAUUAGGAAGUAACUAGAAUAUGUAGUGUAGCGGUGAAAUGCUUAGAGAUUACAUGGAAUACCAAUUGCGAAGGCAGGUUACUACUAAUGGAUUGACGCUGAUGGACGAAAGCGUGGGUAGCGAACAGGAUUAGAUACCCUGGUAGUCCACGCCGUAAACGAUGGAUACUAGCUGUUGGAAGCAAUUUCAGUGGCUAAGCGAAAGUGAUAAGU